UCAGAACAGAACAGAAUCUUCAUCAUCACACAAACCAAAAGAACAACAAUGACUUUCAUCAUCAUCUUCAUCUGGACACUGACUUUCUACAUUCAGGAGAGCUGUGGACAAGUGACAGUGACUCAAACACCACAAAUAACAUCCAUUACACAAGGAGGAACUGUUGAAAUCAGCUGUAAAACAAGUCAGCCAAUUUCUGGCUGUAGUGACUGUGUUUCAUGGUAUCAUCAGAAACCUGGAGAAGCUCAUAAACUCCUCAUUUAUUACAUCAGGAGACUUCAGUCAGGAACUCCAUCAAGAUUCAGUGGCAGCGGAUCAGACUAUGGAAGUGAUUUCACUUUGACCAUCAGUGGAGUUCAGACUGAAGAUUCAGGAGAUUAUUACUGUCUGAGUUUACACAGUGGUGAUGGUUAUUUUGUAUCACUGUGGUACACUUUCGGCAGCGGCACCAGACUGGAUGUUGGCACCAACAGUCCCCCUAAAGUGAUCGUCCUGCCGCCGUCCAGUGAAGAGAUUUCCAGAAAGCAAACAGCAACACUGAUGUGUGUGGCCAACAAGGGCUUCCCCUCAGACUGGAGUCUGAACUGGAAGGUGGACGGGAUCAGCAGCAGGUCUCAGUACAGCAGUGUUGCUCUCCUGGAGAAGGACGGUCUGUACAGCUGGAGCAGCAGUCUGACUCUCUCUGAGCAGGAGUGGAGCUCAGUGAUCUCAGUCAGCUGUGAGCUCACACAGAAAGACCAGCGUGAUAAAGUCACUGGAGAAUUGAGGAGAGAUCAGUGUUCACAGUAGAUCCACUCACUCUCUCCUCUGUCUCACAUCAAGACUAACAGACUAACUGUGUUUCUCUCUCUCAUCUCACAUCUCUUUUC
Misgurnus anguillicaudatus (oriental weatherfish) is the source of this 869-nucleotide non-coding RNA. Lineage: Eukaryota; Metazoa; Chordata; Actinopteri; Cypriniformes; Cobitidae. The record is from the annotation of a RefSeq genome assembly.